CCUGACUGCUAUCGGAUUGGUACUAAGCCAUGUGAGUCAUUGUAGCAAUACAAGGCAGACGGCUCAGUAACACGUAGUCAAUCUACCCUAUGGACGGGGAUAACCUCGGGAAACUGAGGAUAAAACCCGAUAGAUCAUAGUGCCUGGAACGGCUUAUGGUCCAAAUGAUUCGUCGCCGUAGGAUGGGACUGCGGCCUAUCAGCUUGUUGGUGAGGUAAUGGCCCACCAAGGCUAUUACAGGUACGGGCUCUGAGAGGAGAAGCCCGGAGAUGGGUACUGAGACACGGACCCAGGCCCUAUGGGGCGCAGCAGGCGAGAAACCUUUGCAAUGUGCGCAAGCACGACAAGGUUAAUCCGAGUGUUUCCUGCUAAAGGAAUCUUUUGUUAGUUCUAAAACCACUAGUGAAUAAGGGGUGGGCAAGUUCUGGUGUCAGCCGCCGCGGUAAAACCGGCACCUCAAGUGGUCAGGAUGAUUAUUGGGCCCAAAGCAUCCGUAGCCUGUUCUGUAAGUUUCCGGUUAAAUCCAUUAGCUCAACUAAUGGGCCGCCGAAAAUACUGCAGAACUAGGGAGUGGGAGAGGUAGACGGUACUCGGUAGGAAGGGGUAAAAUCCUUUGAUCUAUUGAUGACCACCUGUGGCGAAGGCGGUCUACCAGAACACGUUCGACGGUGAGGGAUGAAAGCUGGGGGAGCAAACCGGAUUAGAUACCCGGGUAGUCCCAGCUGUAAACGAUGCAGACUCGGUGAUGCGCUGGCUUGUGGCCAGUGCAGUGCCGCAGGGAAGCCGUUAAGUUUGCCGCCUGGGAAGUACGUACGCAAGUAUGAAACUUAAAGGAAUUGGCGGGGGAGCACCACAAGGGGUGAAGCCUGCGGUUC
RNAcentral lists this ribosomal RNA (875 nucleotides) under uncultured marine group I thaumarchaeote. RNAcentral describes it as "bacterial SSU rRNA". It matches the Rfam family "Archaeal small subunit ribosomal RNA", at positions 21 to 903 of the family's 1478-position model. Lineage: Archaea; Thermoproteati; Nitrososphaerota. The record is from RNAcentral.